Molecule: ribosomal RNA, 253 nt
Filed under: uncultured Stichotrichia
Lineage: Eukaryota; Ciliophora; Spirotrichea
Description: partial Eukaryotic large subunit ribosomal RNA
Rfam family: Eukaryotic large subunit ribosomal RNA
Source: RNAcentral
AUUUGGCUGGGUUAAGUUUUUUGGAAUAGGGUGGUUGAGAGGGUGAGAUUUUUGUUUGUUUGGUUUUUGGAGUGUGUGUUGAUGAGUUGAGUUGUUUGGGAUUGUAGUUUAAAGUGGGUGGUAAAUUUUAUUUAAAGUUAAAUAUUGGUGGGAGAUUGAUAGUGUAUAAGUAUUGUGAGGGAAAGAUGUAAUAGAAUUUUGAAAAGAGAGUUAAAGAGUAUUUGAAAUUGUUGAAAAUGAAGUGAAGGAAAUU